GACGAACGCUGGCGGCGUGCUUAACACAUGCAAGUCGAGCGGUAAGGCCCUUUCGGGGGUACGACGAGCGGCGAACGGGUGAGUAGCACGUGGGUGACCUGCCCUCAGCUCUGGGAUAAGCCUGGGAAACCGGGUCUAAUACUGGAUAUGACUCCAUGACGCAUGUUGUGGGGUGGAAAGCCUUGUGCGGCUGAGGAUGGGCCCGCGGCCUAUCAGCUUGUUGGUGGGGUGAGGCCUACCAAGGCGACGACGGGUAGCCGGCCUGAGAGGGCGACCGGCCACACUGGGACUGAGACACGGCCCAGACUCCUACGGGAGGCAGCAGUGGGGAAUCUUGCGCAAUGGGCGAAAGCCUGACGCAGCGACGCCGCGUGAGGGAUGACGGCCUGGUGUAACU
RNAcentral lists this ribosomal RNA (397 nucleotides) under uncultured bacterium. RNAcentral's name for it is "bacterial SSU rRNA". It matches the Rfam family "Bacterial small subunit ribosomal RNA", at positions 28 to 430 of the family's 1533-position model. The record is from RNAcentral.